UACGUAGGGUGCAAGCGUUGUCCGGAAUUAUUGGGCGUAAAGAGCUCGUAGGCGGUUUGUCGCGUCUGCUGUGAAAACUCGGGGCUUAACCCCGGGCCUGCAGUGGGUACGGGCAGACUAGAGUGCGGUAGGGGAGACUGGAAUUCCUGGUGUAGCGGUGAAAUGCGCAGAUAUCAGGAGGAACACCGGUGGCGAAGGCGCCACUCUGGGCCGGUACUGACGCUGAGGAGCGAAAGCGUGGGUAGCAAACAGG
Molecule: ribosomal RNA, 253 nt
Filed under: uncultured bacterium
Lineage: Bacteria
Description: partial 16S ribosomal RNA
Rfam family: Bacterial small subunit ribosomal RNA
Source: RNAcentral